Molecule: ribosomal RNA, 497 nt
Filed under: uncultured bacterium
Lineage: Bacteria
Description: partial 16S ribosomal RNA
Rfam family: Bacterial small subunit ribosomal RNA
Source: RNAcentral
GAUGAACGCUGGCGGCGUGCCUAAUACAUGCAAGUCGAGCGAACGGACGAGAAGCUUGCUUUUCUGAUGUUAGCGGCGGACGGGUGAGUAACACGUGGAUAACCUACCUAUAAGACUGGGAUAACUUCGGGAAACCGGAGCUAAUACCGGAUAAUAUUUUGAACCGCAUGGUUCAAAAGUGAAAGACGGUCUUGCUGUCACUUAUAGAUGGAUCCGCGCUGCAUUAGCUAGUUGGUAAGGUAACGGCUUACCAAGGCAACGAUACAUAUCCGACCUGAGAGGGUGAUCGGCCACACUGGAACUGAGACACGGUCCAGACUCCUACGGGAGGCAGCAGUAGGGAAUCUUCCGCAAUGGGCGAAAGCCUGACGGAGAAACGCCGCGUGAGUAAUGAAGGUCUUCGGAUCGUAAAACUCUGUUAUUAGGGAAGAACAUAUGUGUAAGUAACUGUGCACAUCUUGACGGUACCUAAUCAGAAAGCCACGGCUAACUACGUG